Molecule: long non-coding RNA, 3793 nt
Filed under: Homo sapiens (human)
Lineage: Eukaryota; Metazoa; Chordata; Mammalia; Primates; Hominidae
Description: non-protein coding lnc-POTEF-6:10
Source: RNAcentral
UUAAUUCAUAAUAUUUGUGUGUCUUCUCUUUUCUUCUCAGCUAGUCUCCAAAGGGUUUAUUUUAUUUCUUUUUUUGAAAGAACCAACUUCUUCAGGCUUUAUUGACUUUUUUCUUUGUUCUUUCUUUCUUUUUUUUUUUUUUUUUGAGAUGGAGUCUCGCUCUUGUUGCCCAGGCUGGAGUACAAUGGCAUUUUCUUGGCUCACCACGACCUCGGCCUCCUGGGUUGAAGCAGUUCUCCUGCCUCAGCCUCCUGAGUAGAGUAGCUGGGAUUACAGACAUGCGCCACCACACCUGGCUAAUUUUGUAUUUUUAGUAGAGAUGGGGUUUCUCCACGUUGGUCAGGCUGGUCUUGAACUCCCGACCUCAGGUGAUCCACCCACCUUGGCCUCCAAAAGUGCUGGGAUUAUAGGCAUGAGCCACCGCGCCCAGCCUAUUGACUCUUUAUUAUGCUGCUUUCUUUUCUAUUGCAUAGAUGUAUUGCCUUAUCUCUUUUUUCCCCUUCCUCCUGCUUUCUUUGAUUAUGUUUUUCUUCUCUUUAACUUAGAAAUAUAGCCCAUGAAUAUUUGGCUUGUCUAAUACAUCAUUUAUGGCUUCAUAUUUCCCUCAAGUGCCACUUUGGCUGUAUCCCACACAUUUUGUUGUAUAAUGUUUAUGUUAUCAUUACUCUCUAAUCCUUCAACAUUUUUCAUUUGAAUUUCUUCUUUGACCUAUGAGGAUGUAGAGUGCAGUUUCCAAUUGCCAAAUUACAUUUUCUACAUGUGCAUGAGUUUCUCCUUGUCCCUCACAUCAGACAGACAUUAGCUUAAUGGUUAAAAGUCUUGGGCUUUGAGAUCUAAUAGACUUGGAUUCAAAUCAUAGCUCAUUCACUCACUCCUGUAUUUAUUAAAUAGACAUUAUUCUUGGUGCUGAGGAUAUAUCACUAAACAGAAAUCCAUGCUCACAUAGAUGUUAUAUGCUGAUAUGCGUCCCACCAUUUAGUAGACUCCACUCUUAUUGUAUCAGUUGGAAAAAGUCUCUCAGUUUCUCCCUGUAGAUGAAUUUUUUUAUCUGUCAGUGAGAAUAAUAAUUAUUCUAUUCUAGGGAGCUCUUGGGAGAACGUAGUGAGACAAAGUGCUUAGUACAGUGGUUAGAACAGUGAACAUUUUAGUAAAUGCUUGCUAUUACCAUAUGGACAGCUUUCUUAGAAAGCCUUUCCAAACCUAGCCCCACCCCUCCCCUUCCUGGCACCCAGACAGAGCUAGAUGCUUCUUUUGUAUUCCUCCAGAGCAUAUUGUACUGGCCUCUAGCAGAAUACUCAGGCAAAAUAUUGUAAUCAUGAAUUGUCCACAUCUCCCACCAGACUGCCAGUUCUUUAAAGACAAAGAAUAUAUCAUAUGUAAUUUUUUUUUACCUCAGCAUCUACCACAGUGCCUGGCAAGUGUUAAAUGCUAAAUAAAUAUAUUUGAAAUGACUAAAGGAAGGAUUGAUACAGAUUUAGGAAAAGGAAAGUAAGUGUAUGUUGCUGAGAUAUCUAUUGAUUCGUUUAGUCAAAAAAUGUUUAUUAGGCACUGAUUACCUUCAGCCACUUUUCAAGGUACUGUAUAGGUUCAAACAAAACAGACAAAAUUUUGUUAUGAUACUUAAAUCUUAGAAAGGAGAAAUAUACAUCAGAUAUGGUUGAGUGAUUGCAGAAAAAUAAAACAGAUUAAAGAAGUAAACAGUAUUGUGGGAAGGCUGCUAUUUAAUAUGUGAUGGCCAAAGAAAGUCUCUCUGAUAAGGUGUCAUCUUAGUAGAGACCUGAAAGAAGUGAGAGGGCAAAUCAGAGGGACACGUGGAUGAAAUAUUCCAAGUUGAAGAAAUAGCAAGUGCUGAAGUUCUUUAAUCAUAUUCAAGGACAGCAAGGAGGCCAGUGUGGCUGCAGCAGAAGCACCGAGAGGGAGAGCGGUAAGAGGUGAAGUCAGAGUGGUGGGCAGAGAGAGUGAGGAUGCAGAGAGUGCAAACCCUUGCAGACCAUGGCUUUGCCUCUAAAUGAGAAGAGAUUCCGCUGAAGGGCUCUGAAUGGGGACGUUCCUGUAAUACACUCUGAGUUACAUUUUACAAGAAUCCCUCUGGCUGCUACAUGGAGGUCCGACUAGGGUUACAGGGGUAGUGGCAGAGACCACUUAGGACAGUAUUGCAACAUUCCAGGCUACAGUAGUGGUUUGGAUCAGAGAGAUAGCAGGUGGUAAUUAUGAUUCUGGGUAUUUUUCAAACAGAGCUGAUAGAUUUUGUUCAAUUGUGUGUGGGUUGUUAAAGAAAGAGAAGAAUCAAGGAUAACCCCAAAGUUUUUGGCUGAACUACUAAACAAAUUGAAUUAGCAUUUGGUUAGAGGUAGAAGACUGGUGAAAUAGCAAGUUUGUGUAUGUAUUGGGAGGGGGGUGGUUAGCAGUGGGUGUAUCAGGAGGCCCAUUUUAGAGCUGUUAAAUGUGAAUGUCUCUUACACCUCCAGGUGGAAAUGUUGAAUAAGUAUAUGGAUAUAUAGAUCAGAACAUCAGUGUUGAGAUCAGAAUCUCUUAUGCUAUCAACCUGUACAUAACUUUCUUAUUUACCACCAUCUUUUUAAAGUAUAAAUCCCUAUGGACCAGAUGAUUCUUGAGAAUCUUCUCUGAAGAGGAGUUAUAUUUUUCAGAUAGAUUUUUAGAUUUUAAAAAAAUGCCAAUUUUUUUAAGUAGGGCAAUAAUCGUAUUACUAUAAUAACUGACAUCAUAAUUGAAUAAUGAGCUUAGGCAUAUGCUUUGCAAAAACCUACAUACCUUAAAUAAAAUUGAAUUCAAAUGAGUAUCUUUUCAAAAGAACUGCUGAAUUCACAAAUGUAUGUAAACAGUUCUUAGUUCAGCUUAAUCUAAGUAUUAAUAUAAAAACACUACUAUGGAUAAAACCCUGGAUACCAGAGUGGACAGUUGAGUCUUACAUAUUCCCAGAGAAAUAUUUAAAGUAAGCUAACACAAGAAAAUCUUGCCUUUAGAAUUUUUAAGUUAAACUUUUAAUAAAGAUUCAAAUAAAAUAUUAAGAAACUUUCUAAAUGGUUCUGACAGUAAUGGUCCAGCCAGGGAAAUAAAGUUUCUAGCCUCUUUCUUGGGGCUUUCAGAAUAGACUAGAUAACCUUAGAAUUAAAUGUGGAUUUAUGUUUUUCUGAACAGUACCCCCUUUUAUUGACUACAUGUUUCCCCAAGAAUUUGUUUUAGAGUAGAUGUUUCAAAUAAAGGGUCCAAUUCUUAACCCAUUCACAUUGUCUCAUUUUGCAGAUAACCACUUGCCUAGCAUAAAAAUCUUUACGUUGUUCUCAGAAAUUGAUUCUUGACUCUACACAGCAAAUCCUUCGUCUUUAUUGCUGUGACCCAUUAUAAAUACCUUCCACUAUGAUGGGCUUAUAUUCUCCUAUUCUCCUCUAGCACUUACUCUCUUUUUUCCCCCAGGUUUCCAGGUCUUGGCAACCUUUGAAAUUCCAAUUCCAUUUGAGAGAGCUUUGACGAGGCCAUAUGCUGAUUUCACCACCAGCAACUUCAGAACCCAGUACUGGAAUGCCAUCAGCCAGCAGGCCCCUGCCAUCAUCUAUGACUUCUAUCUGUGGCUCACUGGAAGGAAACCCAGGCAAGGCCAAGAUGGCUCAAAGAGCAACCAGCCACCUCUGCAGCCUGCCACCUCCUGCUGGCAAGAUUUGUUUUUGCAUCCUGUGAAGAGCCAAGGAGGCACCAGGGCAUAAGUCUACUCACUUAUAUCUGUCUGGAACAUAACGCUUGUUUGUUUUUACAACAAAUAAAAUUGAUCUUGAAU